GAUGAACGCUAGCUACAGGCUUAACACAUGCAAGUCGCGGGGCAGCAUGGGGGUUGCUUGCAAUCCCCGAUGGCGACCGGCGCACGGGUGAGUAACGCGUAUCCAACCUGCCCUUCACCACGGGAUAACCCGGCGAAAGUCGGACUAAUACCGUAUGUUGUCCAUUGACGGCAUCCGAUUUGGACGAAAGGUUUGGCGGGGAAGGAUGGGGAUGCGUCCGAUUAGCUGGACGGCGGGGUGACGGCCCACCGUGGCGACGAUCGGUAGGGGUUCUGAGAGGAAGGUCCCCCACACUGGAACUGAGACACGGUCCAGACUCCUACGGGAGGCAGCAGUGAGGAAUAUUGGUCAAUGGGCGUAAGCCUGAACCAGCCAAGUAGCGUGCAGGAUGACGGCCCUAUGGGCUGUAAACUGCUUUUAUGCGGGGAUAAAGUGGCCCACGUGUGGGUUUUUGCAGGUACCGCAUGAAUAAGGACCGGCUAAUUCCGUG
This 490-nucleotide ribosomal RNA is filed under the name uncultured bacterium. Its description in RNAcentral is "partial 16S ribosomal RNA". It matches the Rfam family "Bacterial small subunit ribosomal RNA", at positions 28 to 507 of the family's 1533-position model. The record is from RNAcentral.